Molecule: ribosomal RNA, 116 nt
Filed under: Klebsiella pneumoniae
Lineage: Bacteria; Pseudomonadati; Pseudomonadota; Gammaproteobacteria; Enterobacterales; Enterobacteriaceae
Description: partial 23S ribosomal RNA
Rfam family: Bacterial large subunit ribosomal RNA (bases 1-104)
Source: RNAcentral
GUAGCCUGAAGGAACGUUGAAGACGACGACGUUGAUAGGCCGGGUGUGUAAGCGCAGCGAUGCGUUGAGCUAACCGGUACUAAUGAACCGUGAGGCUUAACCUUACAACGCCGAAG